Long non-coding RNA from Trematomus bernacchii (emerald rockcod), 230 nucleotides. RefSeq lists it as uncharacterized. The transcript is spliced from 3 exons. The record is from RefSeq and is a predicted model, not a curated record. Lineage: Eukaryota; Metazoa; Chordata; Actinopteri; Perciformes; Nototheniidae.
AUAAAAGACACAUCUGAGAUAAUAGCUUCCACUUCUCCGAUUCAACAUGCAAGGGCUCCUCCUUUGUUGCCUUGUGGCGCUGGCCGCAAGCCAAAGUGUCCAUUUUGAGCUUGGUCUAAACCCGAAGAAAACGUACGAGUAUACAUAUGAAGGAGUGGUACACUUUGGACUCGGCCAGCCAAACAUUGCUGAGUCUGGCGCCAGAAUGAUGUGCAAGAUCAAGAUUGUUG